CAGGUAUAGAACUAUUGAAUGGUAGAGUUUGAGAUCUUCGAAACCAUCAAGACUGAUCAUUUUCUGGCUACUUUCUACAUAGGAAUCCUAGAGUUCCUUGGAGAGGAUAUGAAGGUUAUUUUCAGGCCAUGCAGAUGGGCAGGAAAGGAUGUGCGUCCAUGGUUCCUCUUCAAAUUCAACCAAAACAGCCUUGCUUCCGUUGGCUUUAUAUAAUACUGCAACUCUUGAUAAUUAAUCUGAUUUAACACAAAUUUCCUCAUUGAGUUUCUCCUCAUGAAGAAACGGCCUUAGUGAGGUAAAUCGGAAUGCACAGGAGCACAUAGCAGGCUGGAGUGUAGUGGUAUGAUCACAGCUCACUGCAGCCUCGAACUCCUGGACUCAAACAAUCCUCCUGCCUCAGCCUCCAGAGCAACUGGGAGUAAAGGUGUGUGCCACCAUGCCUGACUAAGUUUUUAAAUUUUUUGUAGAGAUGGGGUCUUGCUAUAUUGACCAGGCUGGUCUUGAACUUCUGGCCUCAAGAAAUCCUCCCACCUGGGCCUCCCAGAGUGCUGGGAUUACAGGAAUGCACCACUGUGCCCAGCCCUAAAUCACUAUUUUUAUUUCCCUUUCUGUAACCGCUCAUCUUUUGUGCAUUUUUCCUUGGGUAUUGGCCUUCUUAUCAAAGUUUAAGAACUGUUUAUAUAUAGGGAUUAACCCUUAGUCUGUUGUAUGAAUUGCAAAUAUACAUGUAUUUUUAUUUGUAUAUGCAAAGUUUAUCUUUUAACUUUGUAUAUGGGAUAGUUUUCCAAGCACAGUUUUAUUUUAUUUUAUUUUUCAUCUUGCAUGUCUUUCCAAAGUACCAAGCAGAGUUUUUUUAAAAGUUGUUUUAUGGCUUCUGGGUUUUUAAAGUCAUAUUUAGAAAGAUCUUUCCCACUCUGAAAUUAAAAAAAUAAAUAAAUAAAAUCUCCCAA
This 950-nucleotide non-coding RNA is filed under the name Pan troglodytes (chimpanzee). The record is from RNAcentral. Lineage: Eukaryota; Metazoa; Chordata; Mammalia; Primates; Hominidae.